Molecule: non-coding RNA, 246 nt
Filed under: Pediculus humanus corporis (human body louse)
Lineage: Eukaryota; Metazoa; Arthropoda; Insecta; Psocodea; Pediculidae
Source: RNAcentral
GUCGGGAGUGGUAGUGUAUUCUUGUAAUCCAACUACUCGGAGGCUAGGUAUAGAGGAUGUUUUAAUGGCGGGGAUUCUCGGAUUGGAUUUUCCACCUUGACUAGGCGUCCGUUAGGGGUAAACCUUGGAGAUGCCUUGGGGGAGGUCAAAAAAAGGGGAAAAAUCGGCCCGAAUAUCACCGAGUUGAAAUCUUGGGAGUGGAAGGUCAAUUUCAGCUCUUCCGAACAAAAACAAACCUGUACCUAA